This 494-nucleotide ribosomal RNA is filed under the name uncultured bacterium. RNAcentral's name for it is "partial 16S ribosomal RNA". It matches the Rfam family "Bacterial small subunit ribosomal RNA", at positions 30 to 506 of the family's 1533-position model. The record is from RNAcentral.
AUGAACGCUGGCGGCGUGCCUAAUACAUGCAAGUCGCGCGAACAGACGAGGAGCUUGCUCCUCUGACGUUAGCGGCGGACGGGUGAGUAACACGUGGAUAACCUACCUAUAGACUGGGAUAACUUCGGGAAACCGGAGCUAAUACCGGAUAAUAUAUUGAACCGCAUGGUUCAAUAGUGAAAGACGGUUUUGCUGUCACUUAUAGAUGGAUCCGCGCCGCAUUAGCUAGUUGGUAAGGUAACGGCUUACCAAGGCGACGAUGCGUAGCCGACCUGAGAGGGGGAUCGGCCAAAAAGGAAAUGAGACACGGUACAGAAGCCUAGGGGAGGAAGAAGGAGGGAAUCUUCCGAAAGGGGAGAAAGUUUGACGGAGCAACGCGGGGUGAGUGAUGAAGGGUUUCGGAGUGUAAAACUCUGUUAUUAGGGAAAAAAAAAUGGGUAAGUAAAUAGGCACGUCUUGACGGUAACAAAUCAAAAAGCCACGGCUAAAUACGU